This 481-nucleotide ribosomal RNA is filed under the name uncultured bacterium. RNAcentral's name for it is "partial 16S ribosomal RNA". It matches the Rfam family "Bacterial small subunit ribosomal RNA", at positions 28 to 507 of the family's 1533-position model. The record is from RNAcentral.
GAUGAACGCUGGCGGCGUGCUUAACACAUGCAAGUCGAACGAAGCAUUUAAGACAGAUUCCUUCGGUUUGAAGUCUUUUAUGACUGAGUGGCGGACGGGUGAGUAACGCGUGGGUAACCUGCCUCAUACAGGGGGAUAGCAGCUGGAAACGGCUGGUAAUACCGCAUAAGCGCACAGUACCACAUGGUACAGUGUGAAAAACUCCGGUGGUAUGAGAUGGACCCGCGUCUGAUUAGCUUGUUGGCGGGGUAACGGCCCACCAAGGCGACGAUCAGUAGCCGACCUGAGAGGGUGACCGGCCACAUUGGGACUGAGACACGGCCCAGACUCCUACGGGAGGCAGCAGUGGGGAAUAUUGCACAAUGGAGGAAACUCUGAUGCAGCGACGCCGCGUGAGUGAAGAAGUAGUUCGCUAUGUAAAGCUCUAUCAGCAGGGAAGAUAGUGACGGUACCUGACGAAGAAGCUCCGGCUAAAUACGUG